UGGUCAAUGGCGUAACUGGUAUGCUAAUGGGCAAUUGGCUUUGGAAAUGUCAUGGAAAAAAGGGUUACCCAAUGGUAAAACCAGAAGCUGGUAUAGUAAUGGACAUAAGCGUGGAGAAAUCUUUUUUGUUGAUGGCAAGGCUGAAGGACGCUGGCAGCGUUGGUAUGUAAACGGUCAAAUCAAGCAGGAUAUGCGGGUACAUAAAGGUGUGGUUCAAACCAUGACUAAAUGG
Molecule: transfer RNA, 232 nt
Filed under: Snodgrassella alvi SCGC AB-598-O02
Lineage: Bacteria; Pseudomonadati; Pseudomonadota; Betaproteobacteria; Neisseriales; Neisseriaceae
Description: tRNA-Asn
Source: RNAcentral